RNAcentral lists this ribosomal RNA (497 nucleotides) under uncultured bacterium. Its description in RNAcentral is "partial 16S ribosomal RNA". It matches the Rfam family "Bacterial small subunit ribosomal RNA", at positions 28 to 506 of the family's 1533-position model. The record is from RNAcentral.
GAUGAACGCUGGCGGCGUGCCUAAUACAUGCAAGUCGAGCGAACAGACGAGGAGCUUGCUCCUCUGACGUUAGCGGCGGACGGGUGAGUAACACGUGGAUAACCUACCUAUAAGACUGGGAUAACUUCGGGAAACCGGAGCUAAUACCGGAUAAUAUAUUGAACCGCAUGGUUCAAUAGUGAAAGACGGUUUUGCUGUCACUUAUAGAUGGAUCCGCGCCGCAUUAGCUAGUUGGUAAGGUAACGGCUUACCAAGGCGACGAUGCGUAGCCGACCUGAGAGGGGGAUUCGGCCAAACGGAAACUGAGACCCGGUCAAGAUCCCAAGGGAGGGCGCAGUUGGGAAUUCUUCCGCAUUGGGCGAAAGCUGGACGGGGCAAGGCGGGGGAGUUAAGAAGGGUCUCCGAUUGGUAAAACUCUGUUAUAGGGAAAGAACAAAGGGUUAAGUAACGAGGCAAGUCUGAAGGUAACUUAACAAAAAAGCAACGCCUAAUUACGG